AUACGGAGGGUGCAAGCGUUACUCGGAAUCACUGGGCGUAAAGGGCGCGCAGGCGGUUUGGUAAGUCAGAUGUGAAAGCCCAUGGCUCAACCAUGGAAGUGCAUUUGAAACUGUCAGACUUGAGUACUAGAGGGGAAAGUGGAAUUCCCGGUGUAGAGGUGAAAUUCGUAGAUAUCGGGAGGAAUACCGGUGGCGAAGGCGACUUUCUGGCUAGAUACUGACGCUGAGGCGCGAAAGCGUGGGGAGCAAACAGGAUUAGAAACCCCGGUAGUCC
Molecule: ribosomal RNA, 274 nt
Filed under: uncultured bacterium
Lineage: Bacteria
Description: partial 16S ribosomal RNA
Rfam family: Bacterial small subunit ribosomal RNA
Source: RNAcentral